Molecule: ribosomal RNA, 487 nt
Filed under: Gnathophylloides mineri
Lineage: Eukaryota; Metazoa; Arthropoda; Malacostraca; Decapoda; Palaemonidae
Description: partial small subunit ribosomal RNA
Rfam family: Microsporidia small subunit ribosomal RNA (bases 121-487)
Source: RNAcentral
GGGUGAAAUUUAUAAGUUUUUGGUAAGUUACCCAAUCUUAUUCAUUUUUAUAGGCUAUAAAGAUUUGGGUUUAAACUAGGAUUAGAUACCCUAUUAUACCAUUUUUAUACUUUUUUGCUUGAGUAGUAAACAGUUAUGUUCUUGAAACUUAGAGGAUUUGGCGGUAUUCAAGUCUAGUUAGAGGAACCUGCUCUGUAAACGAUAAACCACGUAAUAUCUUUCUUUUGCUAGUUUUCAGUUUGUAUACCGCCAUUAGUAGGUGAUACUUACAAGUAUACACUAAAAUAAUCUCUCUUAAUAUAUUAGGUCAAGGUGCAGCCUAUGCUAAAGUUGAAGUGGGUUACAUUAUUUUUUAGAUAGACGGAGUGAUAGUUUAUAAGUUUCAUGAAGGCGGAUUUAAUUGUAAUUUUGUUUUAAAAAGUUAAUAUGAUAGGAGCUCUAGAAUAUGCACACAUCGCCCGUCGCUCUCAUUAAUUAAAGUGAGAUA